GAAGCUCAUGGGGUUGGCCUGCAAGUUGCUGGAGGUGUUGUCUGAGGCCAUGGAUUUGGACAAGGACGCUUUGACCAAUGCUUGUGUGGACAUGGACCAGAAGGUUGUGGUCAAUUUCUACCCCCAAUGCCCACAGCCAGACCUCACCCUCGGACUCAAGCGGCAUACCGAUCCGGGAACCAUCACGCUGCUCCUUCAGGAUCAGGUGGGAGGGCUCCAGGCCACUAGGGAUGGCGGAAAGACUUGGAUCACCGUUCAACCUGUUGAAGGAGCUUUCGUCGUCAACCUUGGCGACCACGGUCAUGUAAGCAUCAUAACCGGCGAAAGGCUGAAGCUAAUCUUUUCUUUGUCUUUGUCUUUUAAUUUAAUUUUAUAGAUAAGGUAGAAAUUCUCUUGUUCAUUGGUUUUCUUUAUGUGGUCAACAUCCACAAUAGUCCUUCCUGAUAUGGUAUUCAAAUUCAUGCUACCCGAACCCGAAAGAGAGAGUGAUUAUUGGUUUGGUAUGGUGCAGUAUCUGAGCAAUGGGAGGUUCAAGAAUGCUGAUCACCAAGCGGUGGUGAACUCCAAUCAUAGCAGACUGUCCAUAGCAACAUUCCAAAACCCCGCACCGGAGGCAACCGUGUAUCCUCUGAAGAUAAGAGAGGGAGAGAAGGCAGUGCUUGAGGGACCCAUCACCUUUGCAGAGAUGUACAGGAGGAAGAUGAGCAAAGAUCUGGAGCUUGCUAGGCUCAAGAAGUUGGCCAAGGAGCAGCAGUUGCAAGACGUGGAGAAGGCCAAGUUAGAGUCCAAGCCCAUUGACCAGAUUUUGGCCUAAUCUUUUUGUCCACUCCUCCUGCUUACUUGCGCUUGUUUAUUUACCAAUUGUACCU
Molecule: long non-coding RNA, 869 nt
Filed under: Vitis vinifera (wine grape)
Lineage: Eukaryota; Viridiplantae; Streptophyta; Magnoliopsida; Vitales; Vitaceae
Description: long non-coding RNA (VVIN_LNC001196)
Source: RNAcentral